CUUUUUUGCUCAAAGUUAAUUAGUAUACUUUUGUUUUUUUUUCUCAUUAUAUAUAUUAAUUUUAAGUUCACUUUUGGGCGUGGGAGCUUAUCACAGUCAGAGAACCUUACGAUCUCCAGUAUCUUAAUAGAAAUUGGUUCGAAGUUGCCGGUGGUAUUUCAGGCGUUGGGAAAAGUAGUGCCUAUCUCUAUCUCUAGUUCAAGGCUAUUUUCGGGCUCAUGAAAAGGCAUAUCUGUGCCUUUGAUAAUAUUAUUUGAAAGAGUAUUUAAUGUUAACAAUGGAUUCCAAAGGUUCAAUGUUAAAGGAGAAACAAAAAUGUCCACUAACAUAGGGACAAGUAAUAUUUUAACUGUACCCUUGGAGAACCAAACAGGUAAACCUUGUGAUCAGCCACCAAUGAGUAGUAGCACAAAUCACAAAGUAUUUUUAACCCAUGAGCGUUGUUUAUGAGGGCUCAAAUGUAUAUAGGAGUGGUAGAUUGAGGUCCCUUCAAGAGAGUGCGAGGCAGCCCACUGGACCUGUUCUCCUUCUCCUACUGUUACGCUUUUACAGCGCUAUAUAAUGAAACUACGCAAUAGGAGAGGGCGGAGUAACAUAUCUUAAAAGAAUUACUUUUAUAUGGCGCAAAGAACGCAAACAGUCGAUCCGAUUGAGCCCGUAUACUUUGUAAAAUUUCAUACCAACAACCGUUUUAAAAAAAUAAACUUUAAAUUUUGGAUGGAUUUGGGGCUAAUAACUAAGGAGUAUCUUUUAAAUUCUCUAGUGGAUAAGGAUCCGCGCUCAUAGCUAACUUAUCUUUUUUAGAAAACGGGAAACCCCCCUAUUAGAACCCUAAAGACCUUUCGGAACCUCAAAGUGAGAUGUAACUGUGAUUAAGGCUUUGCUUAUG
Zophobas morio is the source of this 889-nucleotide long non-coding RNA. RefSeq lists it as uncharacterized. NCBI's taxonomy places the organism in Eukaryota, Metazoa, Arthropoda, Insecta, Coleoptera, Tenebrionidae. The transcript has 3 exons. The record is from RefSeq and is a predicted model, not a curated record.